CUGUGGGACUAGGUGACUGCUUCUGAAAGACUUCGUCUCAAUCUUUGGGUUGGGUCCAGUGGGUACAGCGUACUAACCUCUGCAGAGUGUAUAAACUAAUCAUGAUUAGCCGUGUCCCCGGUUAUGGACAAUUUUGAGCAGCUAGGCCAUUACUGUUGUUGGAUGAUCUUGACAGAUGACACACUUAAUAAAACUUGAU
This 199-nucleotide long non-coding RNA is filed under the name Hordeum vulgare. Its description in RNAcentral is "long non-coding RNA (HVUL_LNC019051)". Lineage: Eukaryota; Viridiplantae; Streptophyta; Magnoliopsida; Poales; Poaceae. The record is from RNAcentral.